Apodemus sylvaticus (European woodmouse) is the source of this 1401-nucleotide long non-coding RNA. RefSeq lists it as uncharacterized. The transcript is spliced from 3 exons. The record is from RefSeq and is a predicted model, not a curated record. NCBI's taxonomy places the organism in Eukaryota, Metazoa, Chordata, Mammalia, Rodentia, Muridae.
UUCUGACUGCCUUUGCAUCAAGAUGUAGGGCUCCCUGCUCCUCCAGCAUCAUGUAUGUCUGCCCAGAUGCUGCCAUGCUUCCUGCCAUGACAACGGACUCAACCUCUGAAACUGUCUCACGUAGCCCAGCCUGGCCUCCAACUUUACGUAACCAAGGAUGACCUUCGGUUCCUAAUAAACAUCAGGGUAUGUACGACAAACACCAUGUGUGCUGAUACCCACAGAGGUCAGAAGACAUCAUUAGAGCUCCUGGAGCCAGAAUUACAGAUAUUUGUGUGAAUUGUCACACGGGUGCUGGGAAUGGAACCCAGGCCCUCUGAAAGAACAAGUGCUCCUAACCACUAGGCCAUCUCUCUAGCCCUGAAAGGGAUCAUUUUUUUAAAAAACAACUUUGGACAACAGACUCAUUUGACUAUAAAACGAAACUCUACAGAAGAAAUAUUCACACUUGAACUGCUGGAAAUAGCCCUAUACCUUGAGAGCUACCCUGUCUUCUUGAGUCAAGAACCCUGAGGUGACACUCCUUUCACCCACUGUCUGUCACUAAGCCAUGCAACAAGUUAUGCAUACUUUAAGACAGGCAGAGAGACCCUGCCCUAAUGGACAGCUCUCAAGUUUUGAACACCCUAGCUCCAGGUAGGCAGAGUUUGCCACAGGAAUCCAUUGCGAGCCUCUGCGUGAGUCCUCACAUGGCUGUGCAGGCAUCCACCGUGUCACACAGUGGAAGAGGGGCUGUCCUGAGUAAGUGGCUGGGGAUGCGUGUGAGUCCCCUCAACUCCCAAAGUUUCUCUGGCUGGGGGUCUGGGUGUGUGCUCUAUGUCUUAGUUUCACUCCUGUAAAAUAGAACUAAUAAUACCUAAUAAUACCCUGAUUCAUAGUAUUAUAGGAACGAAGAUAAGGAAAUGCAGGCAGCCUACUUAGAAUGAAGCCAGGGAUGUGGCUUGCCACCAUUACUAUAAAUAAGAAUAUUGUUGCUGAUAUUAAGAGUUCUGCAGAAGCUGGGUGGUGGUGGCACACGCCUGUAAUCCCAGCACUUGGGAGGCAGAGGCAGGCGGAUAUCUGAGUUCGAGGCCAGCCUGGUCUACAGAGAGUUCCAGGCCACCUAGGACUUCACAGUUAGAUCUGUCUUAAAACAGUACGAACAACAACACCCCCCACCCCUCCCAAGUGUCACAUCUAGAGGGACAAAGCAAGCAAUCUCUGGAGUUCAGUGUCAGCCUGGCCACACCAAUAGGCCUCAGGUUCACUGAAAGACCCUGUGUCAAAGAUGAGGGGAGAACAAUCGGGGCAGACACACAGUGUCACCCUCCGGCUUCUGUGCAUGUGUUAGCACACAGACUACACAGGCAUGUAUACACACCACAUACACCAAAACCACAAAACCAAAACCAGUUAAAUUCA